CUUGAUGGAGCCGAGCCACAGCGGACGGCCCUCCGGCCGCUCCUGCCCGUACGUGGCCAGCAGCGCCUGCGCCUC
This 75-nucleotide antisense RNA is filed under the name Streptomyces albiflaviniger. RNAcentral's name for it is "ASpks TB sRNA". It matches the Rfam family "ASpks TB sRNA". Lineage: Bacteria; Bacillati; Actinomycetota; Actinomycetes; Kitasatosporales; Streptomycetaceae. The record is from Rfam by way of RNAcentral. RNAcentral also lists the same sequence under 1 other name.